CGAGUUACUCUGUCUAGCAAGGUUAAGGGUCUUAGGCCCGAAGCCGAAGGGAAACCGAGUGUGAAUAGCGCGAAUUUAGUUAGGCGGAGUAGACCCGAAAGCGAGUGAUCUAUCCAUGGGCAGGCUGAAGCGGAUGUAACAGUCCGUGGAGGGCCGAACGGCUAUAGGUUGCAAACUGUUCCGAUGACCUGUGGAUAGGAGUGAAAGGCUAAUCAAACUCGCAGAUAGCUGGUUCUCCCCGAAAUAGCUUUCGGGCUAGCCUCUGGUAAUAGUUUACGGGGGUAGAGCUACUGAAUGGGAUAGGGGCCCU
RNAcentral lists this ribosomal RNA (310 nucleotides) under uncultured Strombidinopsis. Its description in RNAcentral is "partial Bacterial large subunit ribosomal RNA". It matches the Rfam family "Bacterial large subunit ribosomal RNA", at positions 624 to 929 of the family's 2925-position model. The record is from RNAcentral. Lineage: Eukaryota; Ciliophora; Spirotrichea; Choreotrichida.